AUUGAACGCUGGCGGAAUGCUUUACACAUGCAAGUCGAGCGGCAGCGCGGCCUUCGGGCUGGCGGCGAGCGGCGAACGGGUGAGUAAUGCAUCGGAACAUGCCCAGUCGUGGGGGAUAACACUUCGAAAGAAGUGCUAAUACCGCAUACGUCCUGAGGGGGAAAGCGGGGGAUCGCAAGACCUCGCGCGAUUGGAGUGGCCGAUGUCAGAUUAGCUAGUUGGUGGGGUAAAGGCCUACCAAGGCGACGAUCUGUAGCUGGUCUGAGAGGAUGAUCAGCCACACUGGGACUGAGACACGGCCCAGACUCCUACGGGAGGCAGCAGUGGGGAAUUUUGGACAAUGGGGGCAACCCUGAUCCAACCAUUCCGCGUGAGUGAAGAAGGCCUUCGGGUUGUAAAGCUCUUUCGGCAGGAACGAAACGGUGGGCUCUAACAUAGUCCGCUAAUGACGGUACCUGAAGAAGAAGCACCGGCGAACUACGU
This 483-nucleotide ribosomal RNA is filed under the name uncultured bacterium. RNAcentral's name for it is "partial 16S ribosomal RNA". It matches the Rfam family "Bacterial small subunit ribosomal RNA", at positions 29 to 506 of the family's 1533-position model. The record is from RNAcentral.